Small nuclear RNA from Hyaena hyaena (striped hyena), 168 nucleotides. RefSeq annotates it as U1 spliceosomal RNA. Lineage: Eukaryota; Metazoa; Chordata; Mammalia; Carnivora; Hyaenidae. The transcript has a single exon. The record is from RefSeq and is a predicted model, not a curated record.
AUACUUAGCUGGCAGGGGGAGAUUCCAUGAUCAUGAAGGUGGUGUUCCCAGAGUAAGGCUUAUCCAUCGUACUCCGAUGUGCUGACUGACCCCUGUGGUUUCCCCAAAUGUGGGAAACUCGACUGCAUAACUUGUGGUAGUGCAGGACUUCGUUCAUGCUCUCCUGUU